This 24-nucleotide non-coding RNA is filed under the name Arabidopsis thaliana (thale cress). The record is from RNAcentral. Lineage: Eukaryota; Viridiplantae; Streptophyta; Magnoliopsida; Brassicales; Brassicaceae.
GAAUCAUUCAGCUCAUCAAACCUC